GGAUCCAUGGGGUAGAGGAUAUCCUCUUGGGCUUNNGGACGCGGGUUCGAUUCCCGCUGGGUCCG
RNAcentral lists this transfer RNA (65 nucleotides) under Methanolinea sp. Its description in RNAcentral is "tRNA-OTHER". It matches the Rfam family "tRNA". Rfam says of the family: Transfer RNA (tRNA) molecules are approximately 80 nucleotides in length. Lineage: Archaea; Methanobacteriati; Methanobacteriota; Methanomicrobia; Methanomicrobiales; Methanoregulaceae. The record is from RNAcentral.